UGCGAAAGCGUGGGGAGCAAACAGGAUUAGAUACCUGGUAGUCACGCUGUAAACGAUGUCGAUUUGGAGGUUGUUCCCUUGAGGAGUGGCUUCCGGAGCUAACGCGUUAAAUCGACCGCCUGGGGAGUACGGCCGCAAGGUUAAAACUCAAAUGAAUUGACGGGGGCCCGCACAAGCGGUGGAGCAUGUGGUUUAAUUCGAUGCAACGCGAAGAACCUUACCUACUCUUGACAUCCAGAGAAUUUAGCAGAGAUGCUUUAGUGCCUUCGGGAACUCUGAGACAGGUGCUGCAUGGCUGUCGUCAGCUCGUGUUGUGAAAUGUCGGGUUAAGUCCCGCAACGAGCGCAACCCUUAUCCUUUGUUGCCAGCACAUUAUGGUGGGAACUCAAAGGAGACUGCCGGUGAUAAACCGGAGGAAGGUGGGGAUGACGUCAAGUCAUCAUGGCCCUUACGAGUAGGGCUACACACGUGCUACAAUGGCGUAUACAAAGAGAAGCGACCUCGCGAGAGCAAGCGGAACUCAUAAAGUACGUCGUAGUCCGGAUUGGAGUCUGCAACUCGACUCCAUGAAGUCGGAAUCGCUAGUAAUCGUAGAUCAGAAUGCUACGGUGAAUACGUUCCCGGGCCUUGUACACACCGCCCGUCACACCAUGGGAGUGGGUUGCAAAAGAAGUAGGUAGCUUAACCUUCGGGAGGGCGCUUACCACUUUGUGAUUCAUGACUGGGGUGAAGUCGUAACAAGGUAACCA
Molecule: ribosomal RNA, 749 nt
Filed under: uncultured Providencia sp.
Lineage: Bacteria; Pseudomonadati; Pseudomonadota; Gammaproteobacteria; Enterobacterales; Morganellaceae
Description: bacterial SSU rRNA
Rfam family: Bacterial small subunit ribosomal RNA
Source: RNAcentral